GACGAACGCUGGCGGCGUGCCUAAUACAUGCAAGUAGAACGCACAGUUUAUACCGUAGCUUGCUACACCAUAAACUGUGAGUUGCGAACGGGUGAGUAACGCGUAGAUAACCUGCCUGGUAGCGGGGGAUAACUAUUGGAAACGAUAGCUAAUACCGCAUAAUAUUGAUUAUUGCAUGAUACUUGAUUGAAAGAUGCUAUUGCAUCACUACCAGAUGGACCUGCGUUGUAUUAGCUAGUAGGUGAGGUAACGGCUCACCUAGGCGACGAUACAUAGCAGACCUGAGAGGGUGAUAGGCCACACUGGGAUGGGGACACGGCCCAGACCCCUACGGGAGGCAGCAGUAGGGAAUCUUCGGCAAUGGACGAAAGUCUGACCGAGCAACGCCGCGUGAGUGAAGAAGGUUUUCGGAUCGUAAAGCUCUGUUGUAAGAGAAGAACGGGUGGGAGAGUGGAAAGUUCACACAGUGACGGUAUCUUACCAGAAAGGGACGGCUAACUACGUG
This 505-nucleotide ribosomal RNA is filed under the name uncultured bacterium. RNAcentral's name for it is "partial 16S ribosomal RNA". It matches the Rfam family "Bacterial small subunit ribosomal RNA", at positions 28 to 507 of the family's 1533-position model. The record is from RNAcentral.